GACGAACGCUGGCGGCGUGCUUAACACAUGCAAGUCGAACGGAAAGGCCCUGCUUUUGUGGGGUGCUCGAGUGGCGAACGGGUGAGUAACACGUGAGUAACCUGCCCUUGACUUUGGGAUAACUUCAGGAAACUGGGGCUAAUACCGGAUAUGAUCUCCUGCUGCAUGGUGGGGGUUGGAAAGUUUCGGCGGUUGGGGAUGGACUCGCGGCUUAUCAGCUUGUUGGUGAGGUAGUGGCUUACCAAGGCUUUGAAGGGUAGCCGGCCUGAGAGGGUGGACGGCGACCAUGGUACUGAGGGACGGCCCAGACUGCUACGGGAGGCAGCAGUCGGGAAUAUGGCACAAUGGGGGGAAGCCAGAUGCAGCAACGUCGCGAGCGUGAUGACCGGCUACGGGUUGUAAACCGCUGUGGCCUGUGACGAAGCGGGAGUGACGGUAAUGGGUAAAGAAGCACCGGCUAACUACGUG
RNAcentral lists this ribosomal RNA (468 nucleotides) under uncultured bacterium. Its description in RNAcentral is "partial 16S ribosomal RNA". It matches the Rfam family "Bacterial small subunit ribosomal RNA", at positions 28 to 507 of the family's 1533-position model. The record is from RNAcentral.